This 253-nucleotide ribosomal RNA is filed under the name uncultured bacterium. Its description in RNAcentral is "partial 16S ribosomal RNA". It matches the Rfam family "Bacterial small subunit ribosomal RNA", at positions 524 to 776 of the family's 1533-position model. The record is from RNAcentral.
UACAGAGGGUGCAAGCGUUAAUCGGAUUUACUGGGCGUAAAGCGUGUGUAGGUGGUUACUCAAGUCGGUUGUGAAAUCCCCGGGCUCAACCUGGGAAUUGCUUCCGAGACUGAGUGACUAGAGUACGGUAGAGGGCGGUGGAAUUUCCGGUGUAGCGGUGAAAUGCGUAGAUAUCGGAAGGAACACCAAUGGCGAAGGCAGCCGCCUGGGCCUGUACUGACACUGAGACACGAAAGCUAGGGGAGCGAAUGGG